RNAcentral lists this ribosomal RNA (494 nucleotides) under uncultured bacterium. RNAcentral describes it as "partial 16S ribosomal RNA". It matches the Rfam family "Bacterial small subunit ribosomal RNA", at positions 28 to 507 of the family's 1533-position model. The record is from RNAcentral.
GACGAACGCUGGCGGCGUGCUUAACACAUGCAAGUCGAACGGUGAAGCGCCUUCCUUUUUGGUUGGUGUGGAUGAGUGGCGAACGGGGGAGUAACACGUGAGUAACCUGCUCCCUCCUUCUGGAUAACCGCAUGAAAGUGUGGCUAAUACGGGAUAUUCUGGGUCUGUCGCAUGAUGGGUUUGGGAAAGAUAUUGUUUCGGUGGGGGAUGGGCUCGCGUCCUAUCAGCUUGUUGGUGGGGCGAUGGCCUACCAAGGCGGCGACGGGUAGCCCGCCUGAGAGGAUUGACUGUAAUGCUAUGACGCCGACGCGGCAAAGACUACGACAGGAGGCAGUGGUGGGGAUUAUUGAACAAGCGCAGUAAGGCUGCUGCAGAGCCGCGUCGUCAAGGAUGGGGCUCUUCUUGUUGUGAACCUCUUUCGCCAGUGAACCGAGCCUGCCUCGUUUGUGGCUGUUUUGACGGUAGCUAAAGAAGAAGCGCCGGCUAACUACGUG